This 412-nucleotide long non-coding RNA is filed under the name Capra hircus (goat). RNAcentral describes it as "lncRNA (ENSCHIG00000002664.1)". The record is from RNAcentral. Lineage: Eukaryota; Metazoa; Chordata; Mammalia; Artiodactyla; Bovidae.
UUCCCCCGCAAACACGCAUUCUGAGAAGUCUAUUUUCUGUGGUUGCAUCCUAGGAUCUUGAAACUAUACCAGGAGAGCCUUUCUUCUGUCUGCUUCAUACGGUCCCUCCACUCUCAUUCUCCAAUAGGAAGCUCCGUGUGUUGUCCUGGGAUCUCGUCCUCAUUUCUUGAAGAGACGGACUGCAUUUCCCGCAGCCUCAAGUAACUUUUCUUCUGCUCUCCUUCAUCUGAGAGAAGCUUAUAGUGUUCUUCUUGGAAAACCACAUGAAACAAGGUGUGGUAGAGUCCGUUUGGCACCCACCCUCCACUGUCUUCACAGAAGUGGACUGCUCAGAGGUGAUGGAACGCAUUGUAGGAUGCUGUAAAUGUUCUGCCAAUUUCCAGCUCACGUGAAGCAUGUAAGUGCCUUGGAG